RNAcentral lists this ribosomal RNA (1002 nucleotides) under Triticum aestivum (bread wheat). RNAcentral's name for it is "partial small subunit ribosomal RNA". Lineage: Eukaryota; Viridiplantae; Streptophyta; Magnoliopsida; Poales; Poaceae. The record is from RNAcentral.
AUGGCCGGCGGCGAUUGUUCUCCCGUGGCGGCAGCGGCUGCGGCGAGAAAGUGGGACCACGAAGAGUAUCGGUUCGAGACGCCGGAGGAGGAUUCCUUGGACCCGCGAUUCAGCGAGUACGACCCCAAGCAGGGUUGUUUCAUAUACGUCCGCUACUUCUUCGAUGGCGACAAACUCGACCUCGACGAGGAGUCACCUGCUGGUCCCAUGCGACAUACUGGUAAAAUCUUCAAAGAGGGGUUCCGGCUAAAAAACUCGGUCAAUGUUGUCUCCAUCAAGAUUGUUUCCUCCGACUAUGGCCCACUCAAUGUCUACGGUACCAUCAUAGCCAGGGACAGUCUGGAUCAAAAAUGUGUCUAUAUAUUCCGGCACGACCAGGAUGAUUGCCAGCUCAUCAGCUCAAAGGAUGAUUCAUUGAUUUUGAUUGGCCAAAAGAGAGGAUUCAUGGUAUGCGAUGAUAUAUUCUUUGAAAUCAAUCUGAAGGUGAAGGAUGUGCAUGGGAGGACUGUCCAUGAUGCUAGGCUCAGUAAAGGCCUGAUGGAGGUGGAUGCUAUCCGCAGGCUGGAAUUUGAUCCCAGAUAUGUGGUUGAAACGGAAACACUCGUUAGCAUGCACAGCAUAUUGGAUUUAAACUACACAUUCGUAAGAAGGUCGGUGGAGGGCACUGUUGAGGUCAGGAUCCUUCAGGGUCCUGAUGAAUUCCAUGGGAAGAUCGCUGCUUCCACUACCAGCAUUCCAUGCGACAUUGUGCUACAUGAUAGCAAGGUGAGUGGUGCGCUAACUGCAGGUGACAAUGGAGUCCUUCAAAUGGCGCGGCGCGUAGUAGGAGUCUCUGUGGAUGAGAUACUGGUGUUGACUGUUGCUGCUGCUGUCGGUGACUAUAAGUUAUCUGUCGGCACUGUUGAGUUUACUCCAAGGCGCAAUGGUUACGAUGCUGAGAUUAUCAUAUGCGGCAACUACCAUAUGCUUCUGAAGGCCACUUGGUCGAUUGUGUAUUUCUGA